Molecule: long non-coding RNA, 1282 nt
Filed under: Calidris pugnax (ruff)
Lineage: Eukaryota; Metazoa; Chordata; Aves; Charadriiformes; Scolopacidae
Description: lncRNA (ENSCPUG00000000074.1)
Source: RNAcentral
GUGAGCAAGCCUUUAAUAUUUAGAAAUGGCAUCUCAGCUCUCAGAAAAGCAUGCAGAAAAUAAAAUCAUCCCAAAACGAUGAUUCUUUUUCAGAGAUUCAAGAAGAAUCUGUCCCAGAAGUCGUUGCGCUUAAAUCAAAGGGACCCAAACGAUACGACAACAAACUGAACGUGGCUUGUUUGGCAAGGGCUUUCUACCCUAAGAACAUCAGCCUUGAUGUGCCCAUGAGUGACACUGUGUAUGAUCUGAAGGCACCUCUUCUCACAUCUGAGGGGAUAUACAGCACCAUGAAGGUAGCUGGAGUGGAAUCAGAUGCCAAGGUGACCUGCAAGGUCACGCACAAGGGGAACAAGACUACCACCAGCAUAAUUCUGCCAGAAGAGAAGACUGAGGAAUUUGGAACAGUUAAUGCCUGCAAGAUUACAGAUGCCUCCACAAAAGCAGAUGUCAAAAUGGAGAGAAUGAAUAUGCUGUUCAUGGCUGUUUUGGGUUUGAGAGUCCUGCUGGUGAAAAGCAUCACCUUGAAUAUAAUCAUGAGUAUCACGCUGUUUCUCUUCUGAGGUAUUGGGUGAGUGAGCCAGCAAUGGACUGAAGAAGAGCAGGAAAGAACGCACCGCAGGAUAAUUUAAACACCAUGGGUCAGCUCUGUUACAGACAAACUUCCAAAGAAUCAACACCCCCCUCCAGCCCCCCAGUUCCAGUAGAUUGAUGAGUCCCUUUAUUGCAUCAAGGUGCUCUUCAAUUAACACCACCUGGAAGUCUUCUUAUACAGCUAACACUGCUGCACUUUUGUCUAGCUUGGUAGUUUCAUUAAUUGUUAGAACAAUUAUUUCUAAUUUCCAUAAGAAAUUUCCCUUACCCCUCUGCUAACUCCUUAGCUCUCCUGCUCCUGCAUCCAUGGCACUGAAGCAUUCAAAUUGCUUAGAUGACAGUUUCAAAAGCUUAAAAUUUAACUUUAUACUCACAGUGCUUUAAAUAUAUUACCUCUGGUCAUAUUGCAUUAUUGUCUACCGAAGUAAUGCUUUUCUGCUUAGGGAUCCCAGGCACAGAGGGAGCAUCGGAUAGUUUUAAUUUUUAGAAUCUUUUAUUACUGGCAAUUUUCUAGUGCAUGUAACCAGAUCUUCAGUGGACCUGAAGGAACUCAGUUCAGACAGGUACACAGUAGUAUUUUCAUUUCCAUCUCUUCUUUAGAGCAUUCUUCUAUUUCGUUAAGUAUAUGGUACUCGCAUUUUAGGUUUGCUUAAUAUACACCAAAAUAAAGUUUUAUUUUGCUUGGUUUGCA